UACGUAGGGUGCAAGCGUUAUCCGGAAUUAUUGGGCGUAAAGAGCUCGUAGGCGGUUUGUCGCGUCUGCUGUGAAAACUGGAGGCUCAACCUCCAGCUUGCAGUGGGUACGGGCAAACUAGAGUGCGGUAGGGGGAGAUUGGAAUUCCUGGUGUAGCGGUGGAAUGCGCAGAUAUCAGGAGGAACACCGAUGGCGAAGGCAGAUCUCUGGGCCGUAACUGACGCUGAGGAGCGAAAGCAUGGGGAGCGAACAGG
This 254-nucleotide ribosomal RNA is filed under the name uncultured bacterium. RNAcentral describes it as "partial 16S ribosomal RNA". It matches the Rfam family "Bacterial small subunit ribosomal RNA", at positions 524 to 776 of the family's 1533-position model. The record is from RNAcentral.